Long non-coding RNA from Fundulus heteroclitus (mummichog), 684 nucleotides. RefSeq lists it as uncharacterized. Lineage: Eukaryota; Metazoa; Chordata; Actinopteri; Cyprinodontiformes; Fundulidae. The record is from RefSeq and is a predicted model, not a curated record. The transcript has 2 exons.
AACAAGGCAAGAACCAAAGAUGGAAGGAUACUUGAGGUAUGAAAUAAGGAAGGAAAGAAAGAAAUCAGUAAAGAUACAAAAAAGGAAAGUAAACAAGCAAGGACACAAGGAAUGAAGAAAAGAUGGAAGGUUACUUGAGGUACGAAAUGAGUAAAAGAGGAAGGUAGGAAGGAAACAAGCAAGGACACAAGGAAUGAAGGAAAGAUGGAAGGUUACUUGAGGUACAAAAUGAGUAAAAGAGGAAGGUAGGGAGGAAACAAGCAAGGACACAAGGAAUGAAGGAAAGAUGGAAGGUUACUUGAGGUACGAAAUGAGUAAAAGAGGAAGGUAGGAAGAAAACAAGCAAGGACACAAGGAAUGAAGGAAAGAUGGAAGGUUACUUGAGGUACGAAAUGAGUAAAAGAGGAAGGUAGGAAGGAAACAAGCAAGGACACAAGGAAUGAAGGAAAGAUGGAAGGUUACUUGAGGUAAGAAAUGAGUAAGGAAGGAAGGGGAGGACGACUUGAAGGGAGGAAAUAAGGAAGGACACCAGUGAAGGAAAUAAGGAAGGACACAAAGAGGAAAGUUAUAGAGCUUACAGAGGAAGGGAGGAAUCGAAGAAAGAAGGGAAUGAGGGGAGACAUUGUAAUUUUCCAUACGUUUCCAGACCAGGAACGACAAAUAAACCUCCAGCGCUGAUAAAAA